RNAcentral lists this ribosomal RNA (254 nucleotides) under uncultured bacterium. RNAcentral describes it as "partial 16S ribosomal RNA". It matches the Rfam family "Bacterial small subunit ribosomal RNA", at positions 524 to 776 of the family's 1533-position model. The record is from RNAcentral.
UACGGGGGGAGCAAGCGUUGUUCGGAUUUACUGGGCGUAAAGGGCGCGUAGGCGGCCAGCACAAGUCAGUUGUGAAAUCUCCGAGCUUAACUCGGAAAGGUCAACUGAUACUGUGCGGCUAGAGUGCGGAAGGGGCAACUGGAAUUCUUGGUGUAGCGGUGAAAUGCGUAGAUAUCAAGAGGAACACCUGUGGCGAAGGCGGGUUGCUGGGCCGACACUGACGCUGAGGCGCGAAAGCCAGGGGAGCGAACGGG